Molecule: RNA transcript, 1730 nt
Organism: Eucalyptus grandis
Lineage: Eukaryota; Viridiplantae; Streptophyta; Magnoliopsida; Myrtales; Myrtaceae
Gene name: calcium-transporting ATPase 5, plasma membrane-type-like
Exons: 5
Source: RefSeq, a predicted model, not a curated record
UCGCCCUUUCACGCUCACAGUUCCUGAGACCGAGUCUCUCGCGAUUUUUGCCUCUGCUCGUCGCCGAUGCCGCUUGCCCUCGACGCCGCUGCCGCUUGCCCUCGACGCCGCUGCCGGACGCCCUAACCCUCGACGCCGCUGCCGGACGCCCUAACCCUCGACGCCUCCGCCGGACGCCACUGGACGCCAGUCACCCCGCGCUCGUCUCGCCCUUGCCUCCUGCUCCCUUGACGCCAUCACCCCUUGCUUGCCUCGCUGCUCAGCUGCUCGCCGUUGAUGCCGACAGUGGAUGCCGCUCGUCCCCUCGGUGGAGGCCGCUCACCACUCACGCACCCUCAACGCUGCUCACCCCCGACGCCGCUCUGCCAGCCGCCCCCAACACCGCUGGCCCAGUCGGCCCUUGACACUGCUCACCAGUCAACGACGCUCGUCGCUCGCCCAGCCGGCCCUUGACGCUGCUCGCUAGCCGAUGACGCUUGCCGCUCGCCCAGCUGGCCCUUGACGUUGCUCGCUAGCCGACGAUGCUCGCCGCUCACCCAACCGCCCUUCACGUUGCUCGCCCAAUCUGCUUCUGUACAUACACCGUUGUCACAUUUCUCCAUUGCAUACAAGCUACGUAAGGCACCGAACUUAAACAAGUCCGUUCCAAACGGCCUUCUUGAAUAUAUGGAUGUGGGGAGUGCUUUUGAUAUGAAUGAGUGUAAUGGGGUGAAUAGCUUCUCAAACACGGAAGUAGAGCAGGCUUCUUAUGGAAUAUUUGUAUGUUUUGGCUGAUUAGUUCCAUUGUUUUACCCGCCUUGCAUGUUUAGGUGAUGGGACGAUCCUCACCAAAUGACAAGCUUCUGCUUGUGCAAGCUCUGAAGAAACGAGGACAUGUAGUUGCUGUUACUAGAGAUGGCACAAAUGAUGCUCCUGCUUUAAAUGAGGCACAUAUUGGCCUUGCAAUGGGUAUUCAAGGGACAGAAGUUGCUAAGGAGAGCUUUGAUAUCAUUAUUUUGGAUGAUAAUUUUGCCUCUGUUGUGAAGAUGAAGUCCUUGAAUUUAACCUAUCAUGGACACCAUGCGGUUGUCAGGUGGGGACGACCUGUAUAUGCAAAUAUCCAGAAAUUCAUCUAGUUUCAGCUUACAAUUACUUUUGCAACCAUUGGGAUAAAUGUGCAGUUUCCUCUGGCCAUGUUCCACUCAAUGCAGUGCAGCUUCUCUGGAUCAAUCUCAUCCAGGAACUUGUUGAGAGGCAGCUGGAUCUGAUAAAGGAGCUUUGCCUUUAGGCAUUGCUAAUGCUUCCACCAAUGCAAAUGUUGUAUCCUUGGAGGAAUUUAAAGAUGUGUUGCUUCAUCUUUUUUUAUUAAAGAUUUGGUUUGACUCGAUGAAAGCCUUCACGUAACUAUUACACACUGGGUCAUGGUGAUUUUUCUGCCACAAGUACAAAAGUAUUGCGCAUGGUGAAUACUCUUGCAGUUGAUAAUGAGGCAAAGCAAACCAUUCAAGGGGCAGGUCUCCUGCUUUCAAUGCACUAGCUGCUAAUUUUGAGAGCCCAAAUGCAAGAAAUGUCUCAACUCCACCACCAGUUGUCAGGAAAAACUUUGUUUUACCGGGCAGUGAGUCCUGAGACCAAAACAGAAUUCAGAGCCUAAUAACAAAGAGAACUCAUGCUUGGUCGAAGUUUGUUGCUUGCAUAAGUGAUUUUCUUGUGUUUGUCACAACAAAAGUUGCUAAGUUGCAAUCCUUUUU